This is an RNA transcript of Gopherus evgoodei (Goodes thornscrub tortoise), 10079 nucleotides long. It is a transcript of the gene named nucleolar and spindle associated protein 1, with no coding region annotated. Lineage: Eukaryota; Metazoa; Chordata; Testudines; Testudinidae. The record is from RefSeq and is a predicted model, not a curated record. The transcript has 3 exons.
ACCGACUGCCUGAGGAGCGGGAGUGAGCCUGGCUAGCGGCGGGACCUCACCGCUCCCUGAUUGGGCUGGGCCCGGGUAUCUAUGUACCCGCCUCUCCUUCCUGCACCCUGAUUGGGCUGGGCCUGGCCGGGUACGAAUUCCGGCUGGUACUCGCUCAGGUUCACCUGUGUUCCAUUUUGAGUGCCAAUCAGCAAACUGAAAAGGAAGGGCUCUGGGUGGAAAAUGAUGGCACAGGUGGCCAUGAGAUUAAGGGUCUGUUCCUGGCAUCCCAGAAGAAGUUAUUCUGUUACUUUUGCUUAGAAAACUGAUCAUAGACAGUAAAUGGUGGAUGCUCCACUACUGGUGAAGAAAAGUCUUUUCCUUAUCUCCAUGGUGUGUAAUGAGGAAGUAUUCUUCUCUUUAUGUUUCAACUUCUUAAACCAGCAUUUGAUGUAUGGAGCCUGCACCAGCUGGCUUCCCCCGUAGGAGCACACUGCAAGCAUUUUACCAAUCCUUACAAGCAAGCAACUGAAAUCAAUGUUUAAUAUGUUCCUGAAAUGAUGUCUUCAGAGUUUUUGAGCUCUGUUUUGCACCCUAGAGAAGAUUUUUACAAGCAUGCUCACGCAGAAACCAGUUUUCUUGAAUGGUAUCUCCUUUCUAUAUCUUAGGAGGGUAACAUCUUCUCACACUGUGUCCUAUUGGAGAACCAAGUAAAUGGAUAAUGCAUCUGCAUGUGAUGCUGUGCCAAGCUAUUUCAACAUGUGUGAAAGGUUGCAACAAGAAUACAUUUCCACCCUGAUGUGAGGAACAAACUUAAAAAAAAAAAAAAAAAAAAUCCACAAUCCUGGAAAAUCCCAUAACGAGGAUGUCCUAAUCCAGAACAAAGAACUGACUUUGUAGAUAAAUAUCUCAAUGUCACCUCGUGAAGCAGCUAAUGCACAGAAACAAAUACAUAAUUACCUUGUCCAUCAUGGAUGAAUGAAUCAUCACAUUCUGUGAUCAAACGUAUUUGCAUGUGUAAAUCCACAUAACCAGUGAAUGUGAAGAGCUUUCACCAGGAAAAGAAGUUGCUCUGCACUGUCUCUGUUUGUAGCAAGCCCCUUCCCUAAGAAGGUGAAUCUGAGAACCCCUAGUGCUAAAUUUGAUCCUAUAGUGUUCGGGUUACAUUGUACCUCCAGUCUUCUCCAGCAGCUUCAGCAGCAAAAGGAACAAAAAACUCUCUGUGAUCCAAGAGAUGGGACAGAACUUCUUUUUAAUAAAGGAACUGGCCUCUGGUAGGAUGGGAGAGGCUACAAAUGUAAUGCUCCAACUCGUCCCCGCAGGGUCCUGAGUGCAGUUUAUAACUUCUUCAUACAGCUGAUGGAGUUGGUUUUUAACUCUCCUUUGGCUACUGGAGAACUGGGAAGAGUACUCUUCCAGGGUGUAGAUGGGAGGUCUGAUGGAGAAACAAGUUCAGAGAGAGCAGAAAUGCUGAAGGAAGUGUGCUCUUUUUCUGGCUCCUCCUGUAUCUCCAUCCCAAACUAAGGAGGAGAUCAUGGUUCUCACGUGUUUACACCAGAUUCUUUGUCUUCAUCACUUGUGACUUUUAUACGGGAUGUUUUCCUUCCAUUUUAGAUAGAAGCUUUGUGUUGUUUAGUUGCUCUCUGCAGUGGUUGCCUGUAUGGUCAAUGAGGUUUCUUGGUGGAAAGGCCAUAAUUGGUUUAUCUGUUUUCUUCUGCUUGAACCUGGACCUCUUCAUAGUGCACCUUAUUCCAAGCUUGUGUUAAUGUGAAUUUAGCAAAUGUGAUUUGCUGAUUUUAAAAAAAUACAAUUUCAGAUCUGGACCGAAAAAGGGGUAUAGGCUCUGUUUAUAUUCUUUUUUUGUUUUCUUUUAGAAAACCACUGGAGAGAGUCAGGCAGCCUAAAAAUGGCUUUUUUUAAAAAAAAGCUGAAAUUCUAUUUAGCUUCUGGUGAUGAGUAGCGAGAGCAACAUUUUAUGACUGGUAGAGAAGGGAAGGAGUUAUAGAAGGAUGGGGAAGAGAGAAUCUCUAAAGAAACUUUUUCUUAUCUGUCUAAUCUAUCGUAGUGGAAGUUGAAGGAGAACAAAUUCUGGAGUUGAACAGACUCAUGCACUGGCUUUGGUCCUGCUCUUCCCUCCUGGGAAUAAAGUUGUAUAGAGCCACAGUGAACUUGUGUUGUGACAGUAAGGUUUAAUUACAUCUUUUCCUGUUUUGUGCUCUCUUGGAGAGAAAAAUCAGUCUCAUUGGGUAGGAAAUGUUGAGCUAUACAUUUCAUGCUGAAAACAACACAAGAUGUAAUGGCAUCAGAAUAUAAUAAGCACCAAUGCAGCACAGUCAGCUGCGUUUAUUGUUCACUUAGAGAAAUGAUUAUAUUCGUCCUGGGUAGGCAGUUGGGCUGGUUUCGUUUAAAUACAGUGCAGUCUCUUGCCAAAUCGAUUUUUGAGUGUUAAAGACAACUAGAAAAAUACAUUCCCUUUUAGGGCCGCCUCUUACUAAAGUCAGUGAGAUUUUGAAUUGAUUUCAGUAGAGGCAGGAUCAGGCUGUUAGUGAGGGAAAUCUCUGCUGUCAAUGUCACAGGUUUAGAUGUGAUUAGAAGGCAUCCGUUAUGGCAAAUGUGUGUUAAGCCUGGUGAUUCUUUUCACCUUCCUGACUCCAUUUGCCCUCCUUCUGACAUAACCACUUGCAGCUGUUUCUAGCACAGCUUGAUAGAAAAUUUGAUAUUGUUUCCCAUAUGUUGUAAAAGGUAGAGAAUGGACUCUGAAGAAGGUGGACACACUUUAGCCCACUUUGCCACAUUGAUAGGAAUAAUUGUCUCUGCGCUCUGCCUUAUAAUGAAAAAAUGGAAACAAAUGUUGACUUUCCCUGCCUGCCCCCUAACAUGUAACCACUUGAUUACUUUUUAAGAUAGGGCUAAUAUUCUGUGGUGUCACAGGAUGCAGUUGUGCAUGCGCAAAAGAACCCACCCCAGUAUGCUUCCUGCCAGCUUCUUUAUGAAACUACUGUGCCAGGCAAUACUGCCUCAGCCUUUAGACUUUGCUCUGCUUUUGUUUCUCCAUGUUGGUUGGAAAUCUUCCCGUAUGAAAGGUUAAACAAAUAAAUAAGGGGCAUGUGCAAUAGAUAUAUAUACAUAUAUAUAUAUUUUAAUACUUGUGGACAAAAUGAUGUUACAAGUUGUUUGAAAACAACAAAAUCACCAAUGUCUUCCAUUUUGAGAUGUGUAUAGUUCCAUAAGCAUUAGUGCUUCGUAGCAAACUGUAGUGCCAUGUUAGGAUCAAUGCAUGAGCCUAGUAGUAUUUUUACAAUUUCAGAGUGGCAAAUUAUUGAUAAUAAACAAUAAUGUAACUAACAGUAGAAAGUAGACAGUAACAGAUGUUAUGAACGUGGUCUAAAGAUGCAGUAUCCUUCUUAGGCAGUCGUAGUGACAAUGCUAUCUUUGGAACCAGAAUUUAUUAAAUUGAUGGGCUGUGUGGAAUAAUAGCUGACUUUUUUUUGUAUUGUUUUUGGUAAAGUCUAUCCAGGCUAAACAGUAAACUGUGAGCAUCCAGACUAAUCAUCUCUUCGUCCAUAUAAAGUGAACUGCAAGACAGAUCCAGGACACACACCAGAUUGACAAUGGCAUUUGUUUCCUUUUAGUCUUAAUGAAACACCCUAAACUGUUGUUGCAGACUCUUAUUUUCAUGUAGACCGCUUCAUUACUACCCAUCCCAUCCAUCAUACAGAAGCUGAAGAGCCACUGUAUGUGUUUUAUAGGCAACUCUGCCACCUUCUCGUAUGGGUAUAAUUAGUGAGCUCUGUUAACUAUUGAGCAGAGUAAUUUUACAGAAAUAACUGUUUAAAAAAUAUGAUACUAAUGUUAAUCUUAAUUAGUAAGACUAGUUAAAUUAUUAAAUUCAAAUUGCUGUCUACAAGUUUUGUCUAUUUUGUACACUAAGAGUCCUAAAUUAUAGAUUGACACUUCCAGUACUUUUCCUAGCUAUCUGAUUUCUUUUUUAACUGCAUGGCAGUUUUCUCUCUCUCUCCACAAUGCCUCUCCCUCUACUUUCUGAGAAUGGAAAGCUGAGCUAGGUGAAAUCCAAAUGGUUUAUCACUAAGGAUAAGAUUUUGUUGUGGAAGUCAUAAAUUCUGUGACUUUCAGAGACCUCUGUGACAUUUUCCCUUCAGUUUCAGCCCUGCGUCCGGGGCGGUGGGGCUAGAGUUGUCAGCUGGCGGGGGCUCUGUGCCACUGCAGGUGCAGGGGCCGCACUGCCGUCAGGCACUGCAGGCAGCGGGUCCCGCAUCUCUGAGCCACCGUGAGCAGAAGGGACUGUCGCUGUCAGCUGCUAUGGACAGUGAGGGCCCCAGAGCUCUCAGUCACUGCCACUGGAGCCAGCAGCAGCUGCAGGAGCCUUGGAGCUGUCAACCACAGUGGGUGCUGGAGCUCCCCCCUCCUCCAACUGCAGGGCUUGGGCUUCAGUUGUCCCCUGGUCAGUUCCCCCUUCCCCAUUAUUUUUAGUAAAAGUCAGAGACAGAUCAUGGGCUUCCCUGAAUUUUUUUUAUUGCGCGUGACCUGUCCCUGACUUUUACUAAAAAUAACUGUGACAAAAUCUUAACUUUAUCACUUUCUCAGGCAGUUUAGGCUACUGAAGCAAGAGAUGGAAAUGACUCCCAACCCAGGUUUGCAACAAUCAGUACCGUAUCUAUCUGAUUUCCUGGAAUAGCUUUUUUAUUGCUGUCACUAUUGUUUUUCACUCACCUCUGUUUUAAAAAUAACAGACUGCUGUCAUCUAUAAGAGGAUACUGCAUCUUUUCUUGAGACCUGCCUGUAAAUGGCCACCUGGAUAAAAUGAGUAGCUUGGGUUUCUGAGUUGAUCUAGUUUAAUUAAAUGGGCAAAAUGUAUUGAGAUACAAAACCAGUGAUUCUUGCAGAGUUAAUUAUGUAAUAAAAGACAGAGUCUCUGCAUAUUCCGUCUCUCCAUGUAUAUUGGGCAGGUGGGCUGUUUACAGUAGAGCUCUGGGAACUGUGCUCAAAGCUAGUUCAGUUCUGAACAAAAGUAGCUAUACCACUGAAUCAAGUAGUUUAGUGCUUGGGGGAAUCAAUUGAUUAAAAAAUACCUCUGAAACUGGAAUGCAAAAUAGCACAGUAUGUAGGGGGAAAUAUCCCUGAUGCAAACAAAGCCAUAAAAAGAUUUAAUAAAACUAGAAUUUUAGUAGCAAUAACUGUUUUGCAUGUAAUAGUAACUAACUUGCAUUAGUAAGAUUGUACAGUAGAAUAAGUGGUAAUAACCAAAUAAGUUUGUGGUGUGUGCUGCAGGGAGUUGCAUGAAGAGAACAAUGUCUCUUUUUAAGAAGAUAGAAGAAUUCCUCUUACUGUUCCCCUCUUUUGAGGGAAUAUGGCUCUUAAAUACCAUGGUGAUGAGCCUGGUAUAAAACCUGGAUAACUAUAGGCCAUGCAUCGGAAUUAGUGCAUGUAGGGGAAGAGUGGGCAGUUGUGUUUGAGUGACUGGUUUCCCUAUUGUUUGUUUUGUAGUGUAGCAUGUGCAGUACCUCUGAGAGGAAAGUGCUGAGAUGAAGAAGACCCGUUUCCUACAGUUGGAAAGCAUAAUUCAAGCUUUUAUUGGAGAGAGGAGUUUUUGUUUUUGUAAAAAGAAACUAAGUAGAGCUGUGACAGGUCCUAAAAAGAAAGUAUUGCAAAAUGUUGACAACCCAAAUGUUUGUUCUGCAGGGACAGAAUUGCAGGAUUUAUUUCAAAAGACUAUCCUACUUCCUCUUUUAAAAUUUUAAGCACAAACUGGCCAUAUGCUUCCAUUUAAGAUUAAAACUGUUUUCUGUUCACCUUUUGAGUUUUGCAAAGCCAAUUGCAGUAGAUUCUCUGGUAAGGCAGAGGAGAAUUGAUCUGCUGCUGUGGUACUUGUCCCUGGCAACUAUUAGAGGGGCAUUGAAAAGAGCCCAUGGAGUUUUAAAAUACAGCCCACAGCUGACCUUGUCUUCAGUACAGAAGUGUAGCCUGCAGAGAAUAUACAGCUCAGCAUGCCAUGUUCUGUCCUGAGUUGAAUUAUUAAACCAAAGUGUGUGUUGAUCCAUGUGGUGGCUUAAUCUCUUUGAUCAGGAUGGGAUAUUGCAUGCUACCAUCUGUAGUGUCAGAGAGUGGCUGAACUUUGCUUCAUUAUUUAAUAAACUCGUGGGGCCAUUUGUCCCCUGGCAAGUUGAUAACAUGACCCCGUGUUGAGCCAAAAUGUGGGCACCCCUGAUAUAAUGUAACCAAGAUGGAUGUAUGGAUAAGUAGUUAAGUGUUAGCAAGUAGGGCAUAUCCAAUAGUAGUCUUGGACAUGAAAACCUGUGAUCUGAAAGAUGGUGAUUUGAAAUAAAUUCCAGCUAUUACAUUAUUAUUAAAACAGGAAACAUACCAAGAGGAGACCUUAACUUGAUCAUGUCUUAGUCAUACUACAUGGUAUUAGACCAGCCAUAUACAAUUACGAAAGUCUAAUUGCCAGUCUUUUACCAUACUAAUGAAAACACUGUCUUGCUCAUAUUUCCAGAAUAUGUAGUUUUCCUAGCUGAGUAGAGUUUUUUGCAAGACUGUGUUACACAGUUACAAUGAAAACUUUAAGGCUAUUGGCUUGUUGCUGCCAGUGCAGACUUUCUGGUGUACUAUUCUCCAGGGGUGACUAAAUUUCCAAGGACUGCUCACAGCAGCACUGUCAGAGAUCCAGCUGACCCUAAGGCUACUGAGCUGUGGUAUGAUUCCCUCCCAAGCCCUUGAUUCUGCUUUGUUUUGCAAGCAAGGAAAAGAUCAGAUAAUGUGAUGGUUGUCAAGUAGUGCUAUGCUAAUACUAGGUCUAAGCAGCGCUAAGUCUAGAUCAGAAGUGUAUGGACUGUGCAGAAACCUGUGGUCUGCUGUUUUGCUCACUGGUGCUGCUGGAGAAGUUCUAGCCAGUACCUGUGCUGUGAAUUGCAGCUCUUGCUCAAUACAGCUGGCUGUUAAAGAUCUUCUCAGCACUAAGAAAUCCUUGUGGCAAAUUUUUGGGAAUAGACAGCUGUGGCAAGCUUCAGGACAAUGAUAUUUUAAAUAGGGCUUCACUACCAGCUCUGCUGUCAAGGUUAUUUUCAGGGUUUUAUGGAAGUACUCCGUAAUAAUGAGAGAACAGAACCUUUUCUGCGGAAGUUUGUCAGUGCUCCUAGAGACCCCUUUUCCCCCUGCAUUGCAGUGACCCUCCUUUCAGCUGUGAAUGGAGACUAGCUGAGAUUUCCUUCCAAGCCCAUUCGUACAGCUUUUUACUUGAGCCAGAGUGGCUAUAUGUCGGGCAAUUUCAGGUGCAGCCUUUCCUCCCAAAGGUUCAGCAUGUUGCCUCCACAGUAUGGCCAGGCUAAGGCACCAAGGGCCACUUACAUAGCAGUGCAGAAUGCUACCUAUGGACACCCCCCACCCUCCCACAUUUUCCUUCAGUCUGCUUUGCACUUUUUCCUGAAGUUUGACUUUAGAAUAAUGUGUAUACAUACACAGCAUAAGUAAAGGAUAUGUCUGGCAGUAAACCUACAUACAAAGCAGUCACAGUAUACCCAAAUUCUCUAAAGCUUACUUUUUAUCUUUACUGUCAGAUGUUCUAACUUGCUGUAGCACAUGUCCUGUGUAAAUUCUGUUUUCUCUCCAAACUGAAUGUGUGUUUGCAGGGCAACUAAGAGAAUGUUCAUUUGUGAAGCUCUAGGCACAAGGAACUGCAUGGAAAAAAUGAGGAAGAAUGGCACAGGCCCACAAAUCAAGUUUUAUAGAGCUAGUAUUCUAAUUAUGCAUGAUUCAAAAUGUCUAGUGUUACAUAGUUAUUACCAGUAAAUUCAGAUAUGCAUUUAUUCAUAAUGAAGCAAUAGGAACUAAUAUACCAAUAGCUUGAACUUACUGCUUUGAUUCUCAAAUGUUGUUUUUUAGAGAAUGCACUGCCUCUGUAGAGAAAGGGGCAGAUUAUACAGAUAGGGACAGAAGCAUGGCACCAAAACUGCAUAUCAGGAACGAGGAUCAUCAGAACUCGCCUUUUUAACCUCUUGCCUGGUUCACAUGUGGCCCUGAGCAUGUAAAAAACAGGGCAUGAACUAAGCAUAUUUAGUGGCGAGAUGAGGUUUCUCAGCUGCUGCAAUUGUAGCAAACAGAAAGGUGCAGAGUUUCCCAGGGUGUGGGGAGGGCAGCAGGUGAAAUCCAAGUUGGAUAACAAAAACUGCCUCAAAGUAAACUGAAUGUAGGAUUUGCUUGACAAUAGGUGAAAGAGGUCUUGGCCUAGUGAGGUAAAUUUUUUGGAGGGGGUUGAAAUCAAUAAGCACAGUCCACAUAUUUCAGGUGUUGAAUAGCUUUUUAAUAUAUUUUCAGGUAACUCUUUAGCCACAUAGGCCACUGUAUUGAAGCAUACUGGUAUGAACCAGCAGUCAUGGCACCCUGUAAGAAUGAACCUGAAGUUUUUGACAAAUUUGUGUUUUUAUUUUGUUGAGCUCUGUGACUAAGUUUUUUUUAAAAGUUAUAAAAUGAGAUUUGCUCAGUGGAUGUCCUGACCUCUAGCAACAUAGGUGACAAUGUUUUGUUCUUAAUUUCACUGAUUGAAAAAAGUGAUUGACAUGAGAACACUAAUGAAAAUCAGGUGCCAUCUAUUUGUUUGCAAACUUUUACUAUGUUUUCUGCAAAGAAUAUUCCUCGAGCCACUUUGUAGGUGUUUGGGGAAAAUUUCUGCUGAGAAUGUUUUAAAAAAAAAAAUGUUAUGGUAUCUGUAGCAGAGCACAAGAACUAAUGCUGCUUUUCCUAGACUGAAGCAUGUAAACUCAUAGAAGCUCUCAGACUGAGACAAUUAGCCUGCAAGAUUCCUUCCUUCUAUCUUAUUACGGCUACAUCUAACUUUGCAGGAGGACCUAGUUUAUGUGAAAAUCCCUCUGUCAGAAAUUCCCUUCUGUUUCUUUGAACAAACAGAAUGGGGCAAGAGGAAGGGUUUAUGGGUCAAGUUAACACCUGUCUACGUUCUUAGCCAGAGUAAUACAAGUACACCCAUGCUUGCAGGUUUGGUGUGGGGGCCAUAUAUUUUUUUCUCGUUGUUCUUUCCUUAGAUAUAGAGUAGUUGCCAAAUGAAAAAGGGAAUAUUAAGGUUUACUCUGUGGUGAUAGUAUAAAAUACAGUCUGAAUAUGGUUGAAAUUUUUCCUUUGGGCCAACUUCUGUAGGCAAAAAGGAAUGGUUAAAACAUGUUUAACCCAAGUGGUGAACCAUGCCACUAAAACCCUACUGGACAUCCUUCAGGACUACUCUUCAGUUUAAAAUCCUGCAUUAGUACUUUUUUUUUCCCAUUUUUUUUUCUAAAUAAGGCCUGGUCUGCACUUAAAAUUUAGGUCAACAUAGUAACAGCACUCAGAGUGUAAAAAAUCUACACCCCUGAAUGUUGCAGCUAUGCUGACAUAAACCCCCUAUGGCUAGGUAGACAGAAGAGUAACAGUAGCUAGGUUAAGAAUUAAAGUUGGUGGAGUUACUACAGUGACAGAAAAAACUCUUCCAUUGUUGUAAUGUACACUGCAGUUGUGCCACUGUAAUAUUCGUAGUGUAGAUGUUGCUUGAGGGGUAAGCAGUUAGUGUAUUUACAAAUACACACUUAUUUCCCUUCUAAACAAAAAGGAAAUAAAACUUCAUUGUAAAUAAUCUUUGUGAGGCACAUGGUGGAAGAGCAGAGGAGAAGUGUUGAAGGUGGUCUUCAGCUCCAACAUAGGAAGGGGAUAGAGUAGAUGCCUUUAAAAAUAAUUUUUUGUCCUUAAGUUUGGAAACUAGGUUAGAGAAUACUGAACUUCUGAUGGUAUGAUCACAUUUUUAUUGUACUCAAUAGACCAUGCACAAGAAAGAUUAGUGAAGGAAUUUAGUGGUAACACUGGAAACCAUUUACUCCAUUGCAUAGUGUGUUUUAUGUGGUAAUACUGAAAAUUUCUCCCUGUAUAUAGCUGAAGUUUUCCAAAAGGCAGCUUGCUUUUAUAUCUAUGCAUCUUUGGGGAUUUGAAGAAAAGACUUUAUUCUUUUGACACUGUAAAGAGGAACUGUUUAAAAAUGAACUUGGAAACUCUGCACCUGUAUACAAUUUUUUUUAGCAAUAAAGCAGCACGGGCUGAGAAUGCAC